This 1602-nucleotide long non-coding RNA is filed under the name Callithrix jacchus (white-tufted-ear marmoset). RNAcentral's name for it is "lncRNA (ENSCJAG00000082436.1)". The record is from RNAcentral. Lineage: Eukaryota; Metazoa; Chordata; Mammalia; Primates; Cebidae.
GGGAACUAAAAUACUUUGGCUCUGGGUGAGGCACAAUUUGCACGGAGUUGGAAGGUGCACCUGUCAGUUGCUUGGUUUACCUAUACCUCAGAGCCCUGUAUCUUCCUGAAGGAGAAAGGGAACUAGUGCUUUGCAAGUGGGUCUCUCAUAAUCACUUAAUUAUGAUUAUUCAGACACAAAAGGAAAUUCUGGAAUUAGCAACCACAGUAAUCAGCAUUCUUCCCAUUUUGAAGAUGAGGACAUGUAGUACACAGCACAGGUAGUAUAUAGCAAAGCCCAAACUCAACAUGUCUGUGUGAUCUUAGCCCUGAGCUAUCAUUUCAAGAGAAGACAUCAAGAACUAAGGCCACAGGCAAGAAACAAAGAAGCUGGGAUUAGCAGCUUGUGACAUCAGAGAACACAGGCAACGUCUCGGAGCUCCACUGCGGCAAUGGAAGGAACUUAGAAGGAGUGUUGAGUGUUUACAACAUGGUGCCAGAUAUUUGGAAAGAAAUAAGUGUGACUGAAGUAUGAAGAGGGGACUCUUUCUUUCACCUAAUAAAUGGUUUAGUGACGACUCAGUCACACCCCAAGGUCACUCUUGAAAUCACAGCCUUAUGAAGUGGCCCACGAGAAUCAGACCAGCUGCUAGUGUCUCCUUCUCUUCCAAAGCUCCCAGAAAGACAGCUGCCCCUUGGAAGAUUUAUUUCUUAAGCCAGGAGUUCUCAGACUUAGCAGUCUAUCUGUGCCACUGUGUUCCACAAAAGAUGGUGAGAAAUACUGUCUCCAUAUUACAGGUCCACCCUCCAACCUUCUCCAUCCUGCUUUCUGUCUCAGGAUUCUGCCCUUUAUGGACUACAUCAACUGGGCUCCCUGGCCCUUUGGAUUUGGCCAAUAAAAGCACCAAGAAGAGAUCAAAAGUCAAAAGAGAGACAGAUUUGGGCAUCUGUUCUCAUUUUCCUCCCUGCUGGACCACAGGAUGACAGUGGCUGUCUACAGUUCCUGUCCAGGGGGUCCUCUCUUAACACCUACACAUCUCAGCACGUUCUCAUAGCCACUCCCUCCCCUUGUACCUGUUUUCCACCAUUGCUGGCCCCAGAAACCUCAACAUCCCUGAAGAUUUUCCCCUAAACUUGCCCACAUCUUUGUAAAGAGGCCAUUGUUGAAAUCUAUUUCAUAACCCUUUUUGGUUUACCAUCUGUGUCCUGUUCCCCAGCUGAAACACAGUUAUGUCCAAACUUACUUUAUAAUCACUUAUGGAGCUUUAGAAAAAUAGAUUUCCAGACCCUACUGAAGACCUAAUGAAUCAGAAUCCCUAUUCUUGGAGCUAAGGAAUAUGUAACUUUAACAAACAACCCAGGUGAUUCUGAUCCAGCCAACCUGGCAAGCAUCCCUGGAUGAGCAUUUGGGAGCCACUGCUCUGCAGACCCUACCAUGCCAAACUGAAGCAUUUGAAAACAAACAGGACACUCCGGAACACAACCCCAGCUACCCUUCCCUCUAACACCACAGCAACCAACACACCAGAAAAAGAAGUGGACUCUCUAUGGGGACAUCCAAAGCAGAAGAAAACAAGCAUAUGGUCUACAGUGAUAGGAGAUGGUCCUGAGCACAUUAAGUAAC